Molecule: long non-coding RNA, 570 nt
Organism: Diuraphis noxia (Russian wheat aphid)
Lineage: Eukaryota; Metazoa; Arthropoda; Insecta; Hemiptera; Aphididae
Source: RefSeq, a predicted model, not a curated record
UGUUUCAAGUUGGCUUAUGUGGUACUAACUACUAAUCCGUCAUCUCAAAGUUUAUAUCGACUUCUAUGUGUGAUUUCUUGCUCAUUGAUUGACUUUUCAAACGUUGAGCUGUGUUUCUUUGAUCUCCGUUAACCGUCCAACACAUUUAUGUUUCAUUGUUCAUGUUUUGCCCUAAGUCACAAACUAUGUCGUCUGUGAAUUGUGAUUUGUACCUGGUAGCUGAAUAACCAGGAAUUUGUUCUAUGAAUCAACGUGUUUGUGAACAUUGUGAAGGUAGUUUCUACACUUAAACGUGUAUAUCUUGGUGCCAUUAUUGAUUUUGUUUAUUUUGGCUGUUGAUGUCAGUGGCUGUAGCUGAGUGGUUGCUUGCAGUCGAUGUAUUGUUGUUAUUUUCAUUAUAUUAUAAGCGUGAUAAUAAUGUUAGGAGCGAGAUGAAAUCUUUUACCCAUCACAUGCUGAACAAGCAGUACCAAGUAUAUUGUUAUUUUCCUGCCCAUUUGAAGAAAAUUACAGAACUUGAAGAGUCCUAGUCAAAACAUUUAUGGAUAUGUUUUCAAUAAUGAACUAAAA